This 380-nucleotide ribosomal RNA is filed under the name uncultured eukaryote. RNAcentral describes it as "partial 18S ribosomal RNA". It matches the Rfam family "Eukaryotic small subunit ribosomal RNA", at positions 592 to 976 of the family's 1831-position model. The record is from RNAcentral.
CAAUAGCGUAUAUUAAAGUUGUUGCAGUUAGAACGCUCGUAGUCGGAUUUCGGGGCGGGGCGACCGGUCUGCCGAUGGGUAUGCACUGGUCGGCGCGUCCUUCCUUCCGGAGACCGUUCCUACUCUUAACUGAGCGGGGGCGGGAGACGGAUCGUUUACUUUGAAAAAAUCAGAGUGUUUCAAGCAGGCAGCUCGCUCUUGCAUGGAUUAGCAUGGGAUAAUGAAAUAGGACUUUGGUGCUAUUUUGUUGGUUUCGAACACCGAAGUAAUGAUUAAAAGGGACAGUCAGGGGCACUCGUAUUCCGCCGAGAGAGGUGAAAUUCUCAGACCAGCGGAAGACGAACCACUGCGAAANCANNNGCCAGGGAUGUUUUCACNGA